Molecule: long non-coding RNA, 2825 nt
Filed under: Sus scrofa (pig)
Lineage: Eukaryota; Metazoa; Chordata; Mammalia; Artiodactyla; Suidae
Description: lncRNA (ENSSSCG00060006201.1)
Source: RNAcentral
UUUUUUUUUUCUUUUUUGGCUACACUUGAGGCAUAUGGAAGUUCCAGGCCAGGGAUCAAAUCCAAGAUGCAGCUGCAACCUAUGCCACAAUUGCAGCAAAGCCAGAUCCUUCAUCUACUGCACUAGGCUGGGGAUUGAUCCUGCACUGCUGCACAGAAAAUGCCAGAUCUAUAACCUGGUACACCACAGCAGGAACUCCAGGAAGCCAUUCUCAGUAUCUGGCUGAUGCAACUUCUAGAGGAUGUAUAGGUCCAGCACCUUUCUUUAAAUCCCUUAAUUUUUCUUUUUUAAAAAAUUUUUGGGAGCCUGAUCAUUCCAAAACACUCACAUAUAUAAGAAAAUUUAGAAACUCAUCAUAAAUACCCAGGGAGAGAAGUAGGCUCAGAAAACAGAAUCGAAGGGAGAAUCAACCAUGUCUACAGUAAUAGGGAGACUUCAGUACUUCAUUAUCAAUAAGGUACUAUCAUAAAACUAGAUAGAAGAUAAAUAAGGAAAUAGAGAACCUGAACAACACAAGAAACCAUCUAGAUCCGACCUAUAUAGAACACUGUAUCAAAUGGACAACAGGACCUUUUCCAGAAGAGACUAUAUGUUAGGUCACAAAUUGAGUCUCAGCAGAGAGAGCUAUGAUACAAAAUUUCUUUUAUGACCAUAACAGGAUGAGGUUAUAAUAAAAUCAUGGGAUGUAGUGAAAACAGUGCUAAGGGGCAAUUUAUAGCUAAAUAAUAUGAAAAGAUUGGAAAAAUUUGCCAGAGUCAGGAUAAGCCAGACUACUUAAAAAUGUAUUCAUUUUUUUCCCAAGGAAAAAAAAAUAUGAAAACAAAUUUCCAGUGUGUUGGUUAGAAACAUCAUUCUUGCACUCCUUUCUUUGGCAAAGCACGAAGAGUGCACGGAGGCUACUCUUGCUCUUGAAUACAGCACAGAAAAGGCAGAUGUAUGGGAAACACUGCUUGGCAGCCUCAAGUGGUAUACACCAGGCAGACUAGCAAAAACUACAUAACGAUGCCCAGGAUCCUAAAAGCCCCUGGCAUCAUAAUGGCGAGACAGUACCCCCACGAGCAUCACACUGUUACCUACUCUGGAUUGUUGCUCUCUGUCAAAUCAGGCAGAACCAGAAAUCCCUGGGGCUUCUUAUCCUCAACAGCCAUCACAGACACAGGUCUAGGAGGUUGCUCAGAACUUGUAGCCUGGCUUGUGUUUCUGGUGUUGGACCAGCAGGGGGUUACAGGAGGCCCCUGAGGCCUACCUGGUUGGCCUGUUUGGAGAUAUCAACCUCUGUGCUCUCUGUGCCAGGAGGGUCACCUUCCUGCUCAGGACCUGCAGCUGCCAAGGGGCUUCCAUGGAACAACCACUUGGCUUGUGGGCUCAGGAUAAGACAUUGCUCAUCCUCUUAUGGAGAUUGGAUGUUGGAUUUUGCCUUUUCCAAGGAUAAGUCACCAAAAUACAUGAAGCAAACUGGCAAAAUAAAGGCCUGAAACCCUCACUCCCAUUUUAAAUAUAAUAUGUAGAUAUAAAGCAUUAAUGUAGGGAAUGAGGGUUUCACAAUUAAAAUCAAUGGCAACUUAAUGGUUUCUGGAACAUACUUAUGUACUGUGGAUUCCAUCUUUUACCUAUAAUCUUCUAUACCUGUUUUCCUAUGUCUUGUGACUACUGUCUGCUUUUGUGCUAUUCUAAUAACUUUGAUAUGAAAAUAAAUACUGUCAAAUAAAAGUUGUUUUUGGCUCAUCACUCCAUUUGAUUUCACCUCACCUACUGCUGAAGCAUUUACAAGUACAGUCAUUCCCACACCACUGAUGGCAGUUAAAUUUUUCUUAAGAAUAUGGAGGGGCCUCUGAGAAUUCAGCUCAAUCUUGUCUCAAGGUCCUGUCAAAAUUCUCCCUGACCCAGAAGAUGAAUUCUCAAAUUCUGGCCUAAGUCAUGCCCCCAUGAACUCUGUACAAUGGCAGGAGACCAUCUACUACUUGAAACAGUGAUUUUUUUAAGGUUUUAACACACCUAUGGGGAUGAUAUUCCUCAUUGAGUUUACCAUGAUGUGAGUCCAUUAUGCAGGAGAACUCAGGAUGCAGUUCCUGGCUUAAAAGGCAUCAUCAGUGGGUCCCACCUGAAAUCACCUCCAGUAUAGUAAGCAAACAGUGGCCACUGAAAGGGGUGUGUGUGUGUGUGUGUGUGUGUGUGUGUGUGUGUGUGUGAGUGUGUGCACGCACGUGCACAUGCAUGUUUGUUAGUCCCAUCUUGAAGCAUGACUUCUCUCUAGAAUAUUUACACAUGUGGUGUGGAACUUCUACCCUGGAAGGACCUGGAAGAGAGAACCCAAGUGACAAUACUCCAGUUUAGUUUGGACUUUAAAAAGCUUCCAUCAGAGAGAACCUCUGGCAGGUGACAGGAGAGGUUGAAUAAUGGGGGGCGAUUUCUGCUGUCUUUGUGGAAAAGCAAUUUCCUGGAAACUGGACACUUAGAAAAUGUUUGGGGCUGAGGCAUGUCAACCAGCAUGCAGACCACAGUCUUCCAAAAUUUUAGGAAUGGUGUCAGAUAGAGAAAAGACUCUGAGAGUGUGAGGAACUCCCACCUACCCAUCACAUCAAGGCUGAAUCUCCUUUAGGCCUAAUUUAUUAUUUUAUCAUCAGUUAUAAUCUGGCUUCAUGCUCUUUAAGGAUAGAGCAGACCAUUAGUAUAACAGAAUGUUCUAUAUAGAUUGUGGUAGUGUUUACAAAGGUGUAUAAAUUUUCAAAAUGCAUUAAAAGGCACCAAAAAUACAUAUAUGAAUUAUACAUUAAUACAGUUGAUUUUUGAUUUUUAAUUAUUUACAGACACUUACUUUGAUUUUU